This 423-nucleotide ribosomal RNA is filed under the name uncultured bacterium. RNAcentral's name for it is "bacterial SSU rRNA". It matches the Rfam family "Bacterial small subunit ribosomal RNA", at positions 917 to 1341 of the family's 1533-position model. The record is from RNAcentral.
GGGCCCGCACAAGCGGUGGAGCAUGUGGUUUAAUUCGAUGCAACGCGAAGAACCUUACCUACCCUUGAAAUCCUCAGAAUUCUCUAGAGAUAGAGAAGUGCCUUCGGGAACUGAGUGACAGGUGCUGCAUGGCUGUCGUCAGCUCGUGUCGUGAGAUGUUGGGUUAAGUCCCGUAACGAGCGCAACCCCUACUCUUAAUUGCCAGCGGUUCGGCCGGGAACUUUAAGAGAACUGCCGGUGAUAAACCGGAGGAAGGUGGGGAUGAUGUCAAGUCAUCAUGGCCCUUACGGGUAGGGCUACACACGUGCUACAAUGGGCAGUACAGAGGGCUGCCACUCAGCGAUGAGGAGCUAAUCCCUAAAAACCGUCUCAGUUCGGAUUGGUCUCUGCAACUCGGGACCAUGAAGUUGGAAUCGCUAGUAA